AGACCGAUAGCGAACAAGUAGAGUGAUCGAAAGAUGAAAAGCACUUUGGAAAGAGAGUUAAAAAGCACGUGAAAUUGUUGAAAGGGAAGCGCUUGCAGCCAGACUUGCCUGUAGUUGCUCAUCUAGGUUUCUACCUAGUGCACUCUUCUAUAGGCAGGCCAGCAUCAGUUUGGGCGGUUGGAUAAAGGUCUCUGUCAUGUACCUCUCUUCGGGGAGAACUUAUAGGGGAGACGACAUGCAACCAGCCUGGACUGAGGUCCGCGCAUCUGCUAGGAUGCUGGCGUAAUGGCUGUAAGCGGCCCGUCUUGAAACACGGACCAAG
This 322-nucleotide ribosomal RNA is filed under the name Phoma sp. RNAcentral's name for it is "partial large subunit ribosomal RNA". It matches the Rfam family "Eukaryotic large subunit ribosomal RNA", at positions 331 to 670 of the family's 3401-position model. The record is from RNAcentral. Lineage: Eukaryota; Fungi; Ascomycota; Dothideomycetes; Pleosporales; Didymellaceae.